AAUGAACGCUGGCGGCGUGCCUAAUACAUGCAAGUCGAACGCUGAAGCAGGAGCUUGCUCGUCUGGAUGAUUAGCGGACGGGUGAGUAACGCGUAUGUAACCUGCCUUGUAGCGGGGGAUAACUAUUGGAAACGAUAGCUAAUACCGCAUGACAACAGGUGGUGCAUGAUAACUGUUUAAAAGGAGCAACUGCUCCACUACCAGAUGGACCUGCGUUGUAUUAGCUAGUUGGUGAGGUAACGGCUCACCAAGGCGACGAUACAUAGCCGACCUGAGAGGGUGAUCGGCCACACUGGGACUGAGACACGGCCCAGACUCCUACGGGAGGCAGCAGUAGGGAAUCUUCGGCAAUGGACGGAAGGCUGACUGAGCAACGCCGCGUGAGUGAAGAAGGUUUUCGGAUCGUAAAGCUCUGUUGUAAGAGAAGAACGAGUGUGAGAGUGGAAAGUUCACACUGUGACGGUAUCUUACCAGAAAGGGACGGCUAACUACGUG
Molecule: ribosomal RNA, 495 nt
Filed under: uncultured bacterium
Lineage: Bacteria
Description: partial 16S ribosomal RNA
Rfam family: Bacterial small subunit ribosomal RNA
Source: RNAcentral